RNAcentral lists this ribosomal RNA (376 nucleotides) under uncultured organism. RNAcentral describes it as "partial 16S ribosomal RNA". It matches the Rfam family "Bacterial small subunit ribosomal RNA", at positions 527 to 896 of the family's 1533-position model. The record is from RNAcentral.
GUAGGUGGCAAGCGUUGUCCGGAAUUAUUGGGCGUAAAGCGCGCGCAGGUGGUUCGUUUAAGUCUGAUGUGAAAGACCCCCGGGCUCAACCGGGGAGGGUCAUUGGAAACUGGGGAACUUGAGUGCAGGAGAGGAAAGUGGAAUUCCACGUGUAGCGGUGAAAUGCGUAGAUAUGUGGAGGAACACCAGUGGCGAAGGCGACUUUCUGGCCUGUAACUGACACUGAGGCGCGAAAGCGUGGGGAGCAAACAGGAUUAGAUACCCUGGUAGUCCACGCCGUAAACGAUGAGCGCUAAGUGUUGGGGGGGUUUCCGCCCCUCAGUGCUGCAGCUAACGCAUUAAGCACUCCGCCUGGGGAGUACGGUCGCAAAGACUG